Molecule: unclassified non-coding RNA, 379 nt
Filed under: Bombus terrestris (buff-tailed bumblebee)
Lineage: Eukaryota; Metazoa; Arthropoda; Insecta; Hymenoptera; Apidae
Description: misc RNA ENSBTSG00005026495.1
Source: RNAcentral
UUAUAGUACACAAAACGUUCGCCAGGUCAGAAACAUACGUGUAACGCAAUGCGAAAUAGUCGUAUGUUAGAAGGGCAUUUAUUUUAAUGUUUAUCGUCCUGAUCUCCCGUAUUUUUAUGUAAAUUUAUAUAACUGUCGAUACAGUGCAAGAAGGGAAAGCCACAAGCCUAAGUUUAAGAGAUUUGUUUCAUUGAUUAAGUAUCAUAACGUGUACUUUAAUUUCGAGAUUUUAUAUAUUUUCAUGCAUUACGUGCUUUCACGCGAAUUUUUACACGCAAAAAAAAAAAAGAAAAAAUUCUCGUGUAUUAAUAUUUCGAUCAAAAAGAAGUAUAGUAAUAGCUCCGGCUAAUACUGGUAAUGAUAAAAAUACUGCAUAAAA